UGGGGAAUUUUGGACAAUGGCGAAAGCCUGAUCCAGCAAUGCCGCGUGUGUGAAGAAGGCCUUCGGGUUGUAAAGCACUUUUGUCCGGAAAGAAAUCCUUGGCUCUAAUACAGUCGGGGGAUGACGGUACCGGAAGAAUAAGCACCGGCUAACUACGUGCCAGCAGCCGCGGUAAUACGUAGGGUGCAAGCGUUAAUCGGAAUUACUGGGCGUAAAGCUGCGCAGGCGGUUUUGCUAAGACCGAUGUGAAAUCCCCGGGCUCAACCUGGGAACUGCAUUGGUGGACUGGCAGGCUAGAGUAUGGCAGAGGGGGGUUAGAAUUCCACGUGUAGCAGUGAAAUGCGUAGAGAUGUGGAGGAAUACCGAUGGCGAAGGCAGCCCCCAUGGGCCAAUACUGACGCUCAUGCACGAAAGCGUGGGGGAGCAAACAGGAUUAGAUACCC
RNAcentral lists this ribosomal RNA (443 nucleotides) under uncultured bacterium. RNAcentral's name for it is "partial 16S ribosomal RNA". It matches the Rfam family "Bacterial small subunit ribosomal RNA", at positions 355 to 787 of the family's 1533-position model. The record is from RNAcentral.